CCAGAGAACUUUUCCAGAGAUGGAUUGGUGCCUUCGGGAACUCUGAGACAGGUGCUGCAUGGCUGUCGUCAGCUCGUGUUGUGAAAUGUUGGGUUAAGUCCCGCAACGAGCGCAACCCUUUAUCCUUUGUUGCCAGCGGUUAGGCCGGGAACUCAAAGGAGACUGCCAGUGAUAAACUGGAGGAAGGUGGGGAUGACGUCAAGUCAUCAUGGCCCUUACGAGUAGGGCUACACACGUGCUACAAUGGCGCAUACAAAGAGAAGCGACCUCGCGAGAGCAAGCGGACCUCAUAAAGUGCGUCGUAGUCCGGAUUGGAGUCUGCAACUCGACUCCAUGAAGUCGGAAUCGCUAGUAAUCGUGGAUCAGAAUGCCACGGUGAAUACGUUCCCGGGCCUUGUACACACCGCCCGUCACACCAUGGGAGUGGGUUGCAAAAGAAGUAGGUAGCUUAACCUUCGGGAGGGCGCUUACCACUUUGUGAUUCAUGACUGGGGUGAAGUCGUAACAAGGUAAGCGUAGUGCU
This 523-nucleotide ribosomal RNA is filed under the name uncultured bacterium. Its description in RNAcentral is "bacterial SSU rRNA". It matches the Rfam family "Bacterial small subunit ribosomal RNA", at positions 988 to 1509 of the family's 1533-position model. The record is from RNAcentral.